Long non-coding RNA from Eucalyptus grandis, 1012 nucleotides. RefSeq lists it as uncharacterized. The transcript has 3 exons. Lineage: Eukaryota; Viridiplantae; Streptophyta; Magnoliopsida; Myrtales; Myrtaceae. The record is from RefSeq and is a predicted model, not a curated record.
CUCCCCUCUUUUUUUAUCUGACAGUGUUCUCUCCUAAAUAGCGCUGUCUCCCACUACAGUUGUGGUCUCUCCAAUGACGGCGACACUCCCUCCCGACGACGGCCUCUCUCUACACUCCACGGUCUCUUCCUCCCGACCUCUUUCUUCUCCAAUCGCGCUCUCUCCCGAUGCUCGGCUUUCUUCUUCCCUCUCGACUCGUGACCGAUAAGCAAUUGCACUACUCUCUCGUCUAAUCUUCCAUCAACGACUCACUUCCACACUUCGCUCUGCUCAAAGCUGUCUCGCUUUUCAGGGGUGGUUCCUGCAAAACGGAGAAGCAGUCGCUCUGCUUUCUUGUAUAAUUUUUAAUCGCUUCCACACUCAGCUCGGCUCAAAGUCGUCCCUCUCGAGAAGCCCUAAAUCUAUGGCGCAUCGCAUUCUGACCAAGCCUCAUCAUUUCGCCUCAAGUUGUCUUCACUAGUCUCUGGUCUCUAUUCGAUUCUCUCAGCUCAGCAGGAUGACACAAUGGCUUCUCUGGCAACAACCGAAGUCUACAACUCAAAUGCGUCAGUCAUGACAAGUGGGCGACUUGCGUUGCAUCAAACUGGGGUGUUAAAGAAGUUUGAGGGGCCUCCCUCCGCAAAUUUGCAGCCCACCUACUAUAGAAUGUGACUCAGACAAGAGAAUGAAUGCAUGUAAUUUGAAAGAGAUGACGAGCAUUCUAAUGAGUUACUCAUUAGCCAUGUUUAUGCCCUCCCAGAGUAUUUCUUGCACACAUGGGAAAACAAAUGAACCGAUUGCCACGAUCUCCAUGUCCUAUGUAUCUUUUGAAUGUGGCUUCUGUUUCUUCAACGUAAAGAGGAUUGUUGCAUAGAAGAUGUGUAUCCAUGGGUACGACUAGUACAACUUAGAGUAUGUACUGAUUGCAUUUGCAGGCGAGAUUCAUUGUGAGAAUUAUUUGCUGAGACAAUAGGACCAGAGAACAUUUUUGCUCUAGCCGUAUAUUCGGAAUAUUGGAUGCAAAUUACAUGCA